AGAGUUUGAUCCUGGCUCAGGAUGAACGCUAGCUACAGGCUUAACACAUGCAAGUCGAGGGGCAGCAUCAUCAAAGCUUGCUUUGAUGGAUGGCGACCGGCGCACGGGUGAGUAACACGUAUCCAACCUGCCGACAACACUGGGAUAGCCUUUCGAAAGAAAGAUUAAUACCGGAUGGUAUAGUUUUCCCGCAUGGGGUGACUAUUAAAGAAUUUCGGUUGUCGAUGGGGAUGCGUUCCAUUAGGCAGUUGGCGGGGUAACGGCCCACCAAACCAACGAUGGAUAGGGGUUCUGAGAGGAAGGUCCCCCACAUUGGAACUGAGACACGGUCCAAACUCCUACGGGAGGCAGCAGUGAGGAAUAUUGGUCAAUGGACGAGAGUCUGAACCAGCCAAGUAGCGUGAAGGAUGACUGCCCUAUGGGUUGUAAACUUCUUUUAUACGGGAAUAAAGUGAGCCACGUGUGGCUUUUUGUAUGUACCGUAUGAAUAAGGAUCGGCUAACUCCGUGCCAGCAGCCGCGGUAAUACGGAGGAUCCGAGCGUUAUCCGGAUUUAUUGGGUUUAAAGGGAGCGUAGGCGGGUUGUUAAGUCAGUUGUGAAAGUUUGCGGCUCAACCGUAAAAUUGCAGUUGAUACUGGCGACCUUGAGUGCAACAGAGGUAGGCGGAAUUCGUGGUGUAGCGGUGAAAUGCUUAGAUAUCACGAAGAACUCCGAUUGCGAAGGCAGCUUACUGGAUUGUAACUGACGCUGAUGCUCGAAAGUGUGGGUAUCAAACAGGAUUAGAUACCCUGGUAGUCCACACUGUAAACGAUGAUUACUAGGUGUUGGAGGAUUGACCCCUUCAGUGCCGCAGUUAACACAAUAAGUAAUCCACCUGGGGAGUACGACCGCAAGGUUGAAACUCAAAGGAAUUGACGGGGGCCCGCACAAGCAGUGGAGUAUGUGGUUUAAUUCGACGCAACGCGAAGAACCUUACCAAGUCUUGACAUCCCUUGACGAUGCUGGAAACAGUAUUUCUCUUCGGAGCAAGGAGACAGGUGGUGCAUGGUUGUCGUCAGCUCGUGUCGUGAGAUGUUGGGUUAAGUCCCGCAACGAGCGCAACCCUUAUGGUCAGUUACUACGCAAGAGGACUCUGGCCAGACUGCCGUUGACAAAACGGAGGAAGGUGGGGAUGACGUCAAAUCAUCAUGCCCUUUAUGACUUGGGCUACACACGUACUACAAUGGCGUUAAACAAAGAGAGGCAAGACCGCGAGGUGGAGCAAAACUCAGAAACAACGUCCCAGUUCGGACUGCAGGCUGCAACUCGCCUGCACGAAGUCGGAAUUGCUAGUAAUCGUGGAUCAGCAUGCCACAGUGAAUACGUUCCCGGGCCUUGCACUCACCGCCCGUCAAG
RNAcentral lists this ribosomal RNA (1395 nucleotides) under uncultured bacterium. Its description in RNAcentral is "partial 16S ribosomal RNA". It matches the Rfam family "Bacterial small subunit ribosomal RNA". The record is from RNAcentral.